Mytilus trossulus (common blue mussel) is the source of this 492-nucleotide long non-coding RNA. RefSeq lists it as uncharacterized. The record is from RefSeq and is a predicted model, not a curated record. The transcript has 3 exons. Lineage: Eukaryota; Metazoa; Mollusca; Bivalvia; Mytilida; Mytilidae.
CUUUCCAGUGACCAACUUUAAUUCACGGUUACAGGAAGUUAUAUUAUAUAAUUAUCGGACAAAUCAAUAGGGAAACCUUAGUAACAAAACUGCACCAUGAAUGAUACUGAUACCAUGGCACAGGCGGCACAGGUUGAUUAUGCAGUUGCAGUUCUACUAACGUCAUUAGCAUCAGUGACAAUUUUAGUUGACUUCACAUAUAUCAUUGUUUGUUUUAAGGCUCUGAAGAAAACUUUCUACCAUCUUACAAUAUUGGCUUUGUUUUUCAGCGACAGUACUUUGGGGAUUUCGUCAGCAAUAUUUUCGUCAGGAUCUAUAAUGAAACAUGAACACGUUGGAUCAUGUCUUCUGCAGAUAUUUCUUAUUGCAUUUGGCUUGCUAUCAAAUUAUUGUUUGAUAUUUCUGCUUUGUUUACAGAGAUUUUUAGUGGUUAGAUCGUUUAACUUCGGAACUAGUAAAAAAUUUGAUAGGAACAAAUAUACAUACAUUGGA